Molecule: ribosomal RNA, 357 nt
Filed under: uncultured bacterium
Lineage: Bacteria
Description: partial 16S ribosomal RNA
Rfam family: Bacterial small subunit ribosomal RNA
Source: RNAcentral
CCUACGGGUGGCAGCAGUGGGGAAUAUUGGGCAAUGGGCGAAAGCCUGACCCAGCAACGCCGCGUGAAGGAAGAAGGCUUUCGGGUUGUAAACUUCUUUUGACAGGGAAGAGCAGAAGACGGUACCUGUCGAAUAAGCCACGGCUAACUACGUGCCAGCAGCUGCGGGAAUACGUAGGUGGCAAGCGGUGUCCGGAUUUACUGGGUGUAAAGGGCGUGGAGCCGGGCUGACAAGUCAGAUGUGAAAUCCGGGGGGUCAACCCCCGAACUGCAUUUGAAACUGGUGGUCUUGAGUAUCGGAGAGGCAGGCGGAAUUCGUGGUGUAGCGGUGAAAUGCGUAGAUAUAUGGAAGAACACC